AUUGAACGCUGGCGGCAUGCUUUACACAUGCAAGUCGAACGGUAACAGGGUGCUUGCACCGCUGACGAGUGGCGAACGGGUGAGUAAUGCGUCGGAACGUGCCGAGUAGUGGGGGAUAACGCAGCGAAAGUUGUGCUAAUACCGCAUACGUACUGAGGUAGAAAGUGGGGGACCUUCGGGCCUCACGCUAUUCGAGCGGCCGACGUCUGAUUAGCUAGUAGGUGAGGUAAAGGCUCACCUAGGCGACGAUCAGUAGCGGGUCUGAGAGGAUGAUCCGCGACACUGGGACUGAGAAACGGCCCAGACUCCUACGGGAGGCAGCAGUGGGGAAUUUUGGACAAUGGGCGAAAGCUUGAUCCAGCCAUGCCGCGUGUCUGAAGAAGGCCUUCGGGUUGUAAAGGACUUCUGUCAGGGAGGAAAUCCCUAGUGCUAAUAACACUGGGGGAUGACAGUACCUGAAGAAUAAGCACCGGCUAACUACGUGCCAGCAGCCGCAGUAA
This 500-nucleotide ribosomal RNA is filed under the name uncultured bacterium. Its description in RNAcentral is "partial 16S ribosomal RNA". It matches the Rfam family "Bacterial small subunit ribosomal RNA", at positions 30 to 523 of the family's 1533-position model. The record is from RNAcentral.